AAUGAACGCUGGCGGCGCGCCUAAUGCAUGCAAGUCGAGCGAGAAGACGUAGCAAUACGUUUGUAAAGCGGCGAACGGGUGAGGAAUACAUGGGUAACCUACCCUCGAGUGGGGAAUAACUAGCCGAAAGGUUAGCUAAUACCGCGUACGCUUCUUGGACUUCGGUUCAGGGAGGAAAGCGAUGCCGAGGGUAUCGCGCUCUUGGAUGGGCUCAUGUCCUAUCAGCCUGUGGUGAGGUAACGGCUCACCAAGGCUUCGACGGGUAGCUGGUCUGAGAGGACGAUCAGCCACACUGGCACUGCGACACGGGCCAGACUCCUACGGGAGGCAGCAGUAAGGAAUAUUGCGCAAUGGGCGAAAGCCUGACGCAGCGACGCCGCGUGGGGGA
RNAcentral lists this ribosomal RNA (388 nucleotides) under uncultured bacterium. RNAcentral describes it as "bacterial SSU rRNA". It matches the Rfam family "Bacterial small subunit ribosomal RNA", at positions 29 to 408 of the family's 1533-position model. The record is from RNAcentral.